AUUUUAUGCUGCAGUACUGCUGUGGGAUUUUACAUUCUUCUACGAGCUGUAGAUCGUUUUGCUGCAAACUACAAUAGCUUUCCAGGGCAAUUUGAUGGUGAGAUGGAUGAGGAGAUAUCAAGACUGAAAACAACAGCUGUCUCACUACUUGCUGAUUUGGGAUGCAACGGAUCAAACUUAACAGAAGACCUUACAAAUGAGAUGUGUCGUUAUGGUGCUGCAGAACUUCAUGCUGUGGUUGCCAUCAUUGGUGGAAUUGCGUCACAGGAGGUGAUUAAGCUCAUCACAAGACAAUUUGUUCCAAUGAGUGGGACUUUUAUAUUCAGCGGCAUUGAUCAUAAGUCGCAGUUGUUAUUUUAGGAUACAAAGAAAGCAACAUGAUUGCAGUGUUCUUUAUGAUGGAGCUCAUAAACUGGUUUUGGAGAAAUCUUGGAUCCUAUACUGACAGAGCAUGCAGAAGAAAUCGUUCAUCUUGAUUAGAAUAGUAGCUUCUGUACGAAUGUUCAUUAGCUAUGAAA
Sesamum indicum (sesame) is the source of this 518-nucleotide non-coding RNA. The record is from RefSeq and is a predicted model, not a curated record. Lineage: Eukaryota; Viridiplantae; Streptophyta; Magnoliopsida; Lamiales; Pedaliaceae.